Molecule: ribosomal RNA, 406 nt
Filed under: uncultured Acidimicrobiia bacterium
Lineage: Bacteria; Bacillati; Actinomycetota; Acidimicrobiia
Description: bacterial SSU rRNA
Rfam family: Bacterial small subunit ribosomal RNA
Source: RNAcentral
UGGGGAAUCUUGCGCAAUGGGCGAAAGCCUGACGCAGCAACGCCGCGUGGGGGACGAAGGCCUUCUGGGUUGUAAACCCCUUUCAGCAGGGACGAUUGUGACGGUACCUGCAGAAGAAGCCCCGGCCAACUACGUGCCAGCAGCCGCGGUAAUACGUAGGGGGCGAGCGUUGUCCGGAUUCAUUGGGCGUAAAGAGCUCGUAGGCGGCUUAGCAAGUCGGGUGUGAAAUCUCCAGGCUCAACCUGGAGUCGCCACUCGAUACUGCUAUGGCUAGAGUCCGGUAGGGGACCAUGGAAUUCCUGGUGUAGCGGUGAAAUGCGCAGAUAUCAGGAGGAACACCAGUGGCGAAGGCGGUGGUCUGGGCCGGAACUGACGCUGAGGAGCGAAAGCGUGGGGAGCGAACAGG